RNAcentral lists this long non-coding RNA (567 nucleotides) under Dromaius novaehollandiae (emu). Its description in RNAcentral is "lncRNA (ENSDNVG00000016844.1)". Lineage: Eukaryota; Metazoa; Chordata; Aves; Casuariiformes; Dromaiidae. The record is from RNAcentral.
AAAAACAGUGGGACUCUAACAAGGCAGACGGAGCUGGUGAUGCCCUGUGGAAGCAGCCAAACAUAGUGCUGAGGCUUYUGUGCGCAGGCACAGUGACAGAACCAGCAACAGACUAACACACAAAUCAGAAACAAUCUGGACACCARAGUUCCCUGCACUCCAUCCUGCUGCAAAUGCACCAACUAUAAGAAUACAACAUACGGCACUAAUAUGUCCUCCUGGUCUGACCUCAGGGUUGAUGCUGCYUGAGCAGGAGGCUGGACUACAGACCACCUGACCUGCAUCGUUCUAUGAUCCUGCAACUGUUUGAAAGCUUUUCCUAUGUUAUUAAGAGCUGUCCUUGCACUGUCGUCACUACAGGAACACUAUCAGGUUUUCUUGGCUGGGAAGAUAAGAAAAUUUCUGCUGUGCUGUAGAGAUUUGGAAUAUUCCUAACAGGAAAAGUGGCAUGUAAAAGCCUGAAAGGAUAGACACACUGUUCACAUCAGCUACUCACAUCACUACUAGCUGAGCUUCAAAUUAGUCAUGCUGUGUAGGUAAGUCUACUCACUGCACAAAUCUGUUACU